GAUGAACGCUAGCGGCAGGCUUAAUACAUGCAAGUCGAGGGGGCAGCACGAAUAGCAAUAUUUGGUGGCGACCGGCAAACGGGUGCGGAACACGUACGCAACCUUCCUUUAAGUGGAGAAUAGCCCGGGGAAACCCGGAUUAAUACUCCGUAACAUUAUAAAGUGGCAUCACUUAGUAAUUAUAGAUUUAUCGCUUAAAGAUGGGCGUGCGCCUGAUUAGGUAGUUGGCGGAGUAAUAGCCCACCAAGCCUGCGAUCAGUAACUGGUGUGAGAGCACGACCAGUCACACGGGCACUGAGA
This 300-nucleotide ribosomal RNA is filed under the name uncultured bacterium. RNAcentral's name for it is "bacterial SSU rRNA". It matches the Rfam family "Bacterial small subunit ribosomal RNA", at positions 28 to 324 of the family's 1533-position model. The record is from RNAcentral.